Molecule: long non-coding RNA, 1318 nt
Filed under: Vulpes vulpes (red fox)
Lineage: Eukaryota; Metazoa; Chordata; Mammalia; Carnivora; Canidae
Description: lncRNA (ENSVVUG00000001016.1)
Source: RNAcentral
GUGGGAGCAGCCCAGCUCCCGCUCCAUCCCGAGGUCACCUGCUGCGGCAUCUUCUCGGGCGCGGUGAGGCCAGUGCGGCCCCUGGAGCGCGGAGACGCCUCCCGAGCCCUGGGCCCCGCGGGGGAGGCCCUGGGCCUGGGCCGGAGGAGCUCGCCUGGCACUGCCUGGGGCUGCUCUUGGGGACCUGGUCGUGAAGCCGCCACUGCCCACCCUAGCCUAGGGCUGCUGCUCUGGUUGCUUCCAUAAAAAGAAAGUGGAACCGGAAUAAAGAAGAAGAUGAGAAGGAGAAGGAGGAAACGACGAAGCAGCAGCAGCAGCAGCGGAGCAGCGGCGGCGGUGGCCUGGAAGAGCCAUGCCUGAAGGUCUGGGGCGACUGUGGUCUGAGAACCAGCNGGCCCUGCUGCUCUGGUUGCUUCCAUAAAAAGAAAGUGGAACCGGAACGAAGAAGAUGAGAAGGAGAAAAUGACGAAGCAGCAGCAGCAGCGGAGCAGCGGCGGCGGCGGCCUGGAAGAGCCAUGCCUGAAGGUCUGGGGCGACUGUGGUCUGAGAACCAGCAACCCCCCAGCCGCAGCCUCCGCCUGAACGACAGCAAGUGGCCCGAGGAUGCGCCCACCUGCCUCGGGAACUGGCGUGGGGCCUCUUCGGCCUCCCGACACAGCCUGUGCCUUCCUACCGCCUUGACUCAGUCUACGUGUCCCCUCUGCCUCCCUCCCCUGCCUGAGAAAGGUGGUUGAGGACCAUGGAGAAGGACACACCGGCUUCCCCUCCUCUCAAGACCUGAAACAAGCUUGACUCAAGGAUGCAAGGAGUCAGCCUGGAACAAGUGGGGAAAUGGUCCUGGUACAAGUGAGGCAAGGCUUGGAGGCAAGAGCUUUCCAUCUUUACUGGUGUGUUACUCUCUGAUCUCCCCCAUUUUUGACUGUGUGGCCCUGAGUUGACAAUUAAGCACACCUUAGCAUAUUUCCUUAUUUUAAAAAAUGGAAUUAUUAUUGGCACAUGGAAGGAACUUAAGGGAGGAGCUCUUUUUUUUUUUUUUUUUUUAAAAUUUUUUUUUUUUUAGAUUUUAUUUAUUUAAUCAUGAUGAGAGAGAGAGGCGGAGACACAGACUCAAUCCUGGGACUCCAGGAUUAGGCCCUGGGCCAAAUGCAGGCACUAAACUGCUGAGUCACCCAGGGAUCCCUGGAGUGAGCUCCUUUUAAUGGAUUUAUCUCAAAGUUAUGUCAAGGUCAAAAGAUGACCCAUUUCUUCUUUCUGAACAUUCUCUCUCACCUUACAUAAACUGAUAUAUAAGAUCAAAAUAAAGGUCUUCUCAAACUCA